RNAcentral lists this ribosomal RNA (387 nucleotides) under Capnocytophaga granulosa. RNAcentral's name for it is "bacterial SSU rRNA". It matches the Rfam family "Bacterial small subunit ribosomal RNA", at positions 28 to 420 of the family's 1533-position model. Lineage: Bacteria; Pseudomonadati; Bacteroidota; Flavobacteriia; Flavobacteriales; Flavobacteriaceae. The record is from RNAcentral.
GAUGAACGCUAGCGGCAGGCCUAACACAUGCAAGUCGAGGGAGAAGCCCUUCGGGGCAGAAACCGGCGCACGGGUGCGUAACGCGUAUGCAACCUACCUUUCACAGGGGGAUAGCCCGAAGAAAUUUGGAUUAAUACCCCAUAAUAUUAUUGGAUGGCAUCAUUUGAUAAUUAAAAUUACGAUGGUGGAAGAUGGGCAUGCGUCCUAUUAGCUAGUUGGAGUGGUAACGGCACCCCAAGGCUACGAUAGGUAGGGGUCCUGAGAGGGAGAUCCCCCCACUGGUACUGAGACAGGGACCAGACUCCUACGGGAGGCAGCAGUGAGGAAUAUUGGUCAAUGGUCGGAAGACUGAACCAGCCAUGCCGCGUGCAGGAAAGAAUCUCCUUA